RNAcentral lists this ribosomal RNA (1497 nucleotides) under Thermococcales archaeon T17a-44. RNAcentral's name for it is "16S ribosomal RNA". It matches the Rfam family "Archaeal small subunit ribosomal RNA". Lineage: Archaea; Methanobacteriati; Methanobacteriota; Thermococci; Thermococcales. The record is from RNAcentral.
UUCCGGUUGAUCCUGCCGGAAGCCACUGCUAUGGGGGUCCGACUAAGCCAUGCGAGUCAAGGGGGCGUCCCUUCUGGGGCGCCACCGGCGGACGGCUCAGUAACACGUCGGUAACCUACCCUCGGGAGGGGGAUAACCCCGGGAAACUGGGGCUAAUCCCCCAUAGGCCUGGGGUACUGGAAGGUCCCCAGGCCGAAAGGGAGCCGUAAGGCUCCGCCCGAGGAUGGGCCGGCGGCCGAUUAGGUAGUUGGUGGGGUAACGGCCCACCAAGCCGAAGAUCGGUACGGGCCGUGAGAGCGGGAGCCCGGAGAUGGACACUGAGACACGGGUCCAGGCCCUACGGGGCGCAGCAGGCGCGAAACCUCCGCAAUGCGGGAAACCGCGACGGGGGGACCCCCAGUGCCGUGCCUCUGGCACGGCUUUUCCGGAGUGUAAAAAGCUCCGGGAAUAAGGGCUGGGCAAGGCCGGUGGCAGCCGCCGCGGUAAUACCGGCGGCCCGAGUGGUGGCCACUAUUAUUGGGCCUAAAGCGGCCGUAGCCGGGCCCGUAAGUCCCUGGCGAAAUCCCACGGCUCAACCGUGGGGCUCGCUGGGGAUACUGCGGGCCUUGGGCACCKGGAGAGGCCGGGGGUACCCCCGGGGUAGGGGUGAAAUCCUAUAAUCCCGGGGGGACCGCCAGUGGUGAAGGCGCCCGGCUGGAACGGGUCCGACGGUGAGGGCCGAAGGCCAGGGGAGCGAACCGGAUUAGAUACCCGGGUAGUCCUGGCUGUAAAGGAUGCGGGCUAGGUGUCGGGCGAGCUUCGAGCUCGCCCGGUGCCGUAGGGAAGCCGUUAAGCCCGCCGCCUGGGGAGUACGGCCGCAAGGCUGAAACUUAAAGGAAUUGGCGGGGGAGCACUACAAGGGGUGGAGCGUGCGGUUUAAUUGGAUUCAACGCCGGGAACCUCACCGGGGGCGACGGCAGGAUGAAGGCCAGGCUGAAGGUCUUGCCGGACGCGCCGAGAGGAGGUGCAUGGCCGCCGUCAGCUCGUACCGUGAGGCGUCCACUUAAGUGUGGUAACGAGCGAGACCCGCGCCCCCAGUUGCCAGUCCCUCCCGCUCGGGAGGGAGGCACUCUGGGGGGACUGCCGGCGAUAAGCCGGAGGAAGGGGCGGGCGACGGUAGGUCAGUAUGCCCCGAAACCCCCGGGCUACACGCGCGCUACAAUGGGCGGGACAAUGGGACCCGACCCCGAAAGGGGAAGGGAAUCCCCUAAACCCGCCCUCAGUUCGGAUCGCGGGCUGCAACUCGCCCGCGUGAAGCUGGAAUCCCUAGUACCCGCGCGUCAUCAUCGCGCGGCGAAUACGUCCCUGCUCCUUGCACACACCGCCCGUCACUCCACCCGAGCGGGGCCCAGGUGAGGCCCGAUCUCCUUCGGGAGGUCGGGUCGAGCCUGGGCUCCGUGAGGGGGGAGAAGCCGUAACAAGGUAGCCGUAGGGGAACCUACGGCUCGAUCACCUCCU